Molecule: transfer RNA, 82 nt
Filed under: Echinostoma caproni
Lineage: Eukaryota; Metazoa; Platyhelminthes; Trematoda; Plagiorchiida; Echinostomatidae
Rfam family: tRNA
About the family: Transfer RNA (tRNA) molecules are approximately 80 nucleotides in length.
Source: Rfam by way of RNAcentral
GCCCUCGUAGCUCAGCUGGUAGAGCAUGCGCGUACAAAGCGUAGGCGGCGUCCAUGCGUGGGUUCGAAUCUCACCGAGGCUA